CCUACGGGAGGCAGCAGUGAGGAAUAUUGGUCAAUGGGCGCAAGCCUGAACCAGCCAAGUCGCGUGAGGGAUUAAUGUUCUACGGAUCGUAAACCUCUUUUAUAAGGGAAUAAAGUGAGGCACGUGUACCAUUUGGUAUGUACAUUAUGAAUAAUGAUCGGCUAACACCGUGCCAGCAGCCGCGGUAAUACGGAGGAUCCGAGCGUUAGCCGGAUUUAUUGGGUUUAACGGGUGCGUAGCUGGCUUUUUAAGUCAGUGGUGAAAGUCGGGGGCUCAACCAUAAAAUUGCCGUUGAUACUGGGAGGCUUGAGUAUGUUAGAGGCAGGCGGAAUUCGUGGUGUAGCGGUGAAAUGCUUAGAUAUCACGAAGAACACCGAUUGCGAAGGCAGCCUGCUAAGCAAUGACUGACGCUGAUGCACGAAAGCGUGGGGAUCAAACAGGAUUAGAUACCCCAGUAGUC
Molecule: ribosomal RNA, 460 nt
Filed under: uncultured bacterium
Lineage: Bacteria
Description: partial 16S ribosomal RNA
Rfam family: Bacterial small subunit ribosomal RNA
Source: RNAcentral